This 528-nucleotide ribosomal RNA is filed under the name uncultured bacterium. RNAcentral describes it as "bacterial SSU rRNA". It matches the Rfam family "Bacterial small subunit ribosomal RNA", at positions 777 to 1304 of the family's 1533-position model. The record is from RNAcentral.
AAUAGAUACCCAGGUAGUCCACGCCGUAAACGAUGAGUGCUAAGUGUUAGAGGGUUUCCGCCCUUUAGUGCUGCAGCUAACGCAUUAAGCACUCCGCCUGGGGAGUACGGUCGCAAGACUGAAACUCAAAGGAAUUGACGGGGGCCCGCACAAGCGGUGGAGCAUGUGGUUUAAUUCGAAGCAACGCGAAGAACCUUACCAGGUCUUGACAUCCCACUGACCGGUAUAGAGAUAUACCUUUCCCUUCGGGGACAGUGGUGACAGGUGGUGCAUGGUUGUCGUCAGCUCGUGUCGUGAGAUGUUGGGUUAAGUCCCGCAACGAGCGCAACCCUUGAUCUUAGUUGCCAGCAUUUAGUUGGGCACUCUAAGGUGACUGCCGGUGACAAACCGGAGGAAGGUGGGGAUGACGUCAAAUCAUCAUGCCCCUUAUGACCUGGGCUACACACGUGCUACAAUGGAUGGUACAAGGGCUGCAAGACUGCGAAGUCAAGCCAAUCCCAUAAAACCAUUCUCAGUUCGGAUUGCAGG